GAUGAACGCUGGCGGCGUGCUUAAUACAUGCAAGUCGAACGGAAAGGCCAGUGCUUGCCCUGGUACUCGAGUGGGGAACGGGUGAGUAACACGCGGGUGAUCUGCCCUGCACUUCGGGAUAAGCCUGGGAAACUGGGUCUAAUACCGGACAGGACAAAGGUUUGGAUGCCGUUGUGGAAAGUUUUUUGGGUUUGGGAUGAGCUUUCGGCCUAUCAGCGCGUUGGUGGGGGAAUGGCCUACUAAGGCGUCGCCGGGUAGCCGGCCAGAGGGGGUGUACGGCCCCAUUGAGACUCCGAGGCGGCCCAGACUCCGACGGGCUGCAGCAGUGGGGAAUAUUGCACCGUGGGAGCGCGCCUGAUGCAACGACGCCGCGUGGGUGAUAACGGCCUUCGGUUUGUAAACACCAUUCGCUAGAGACGAUACGCAUUUGUGACGGUACCUGGAGAAGAAGCCCCGGCUAACUACGUG
This 468-nucleotide ribosomal RNA is filed under the name uncultured bacterium. Its description in RNAcentral is "partial 16S ribosomal RNA". It matches the Rfam family "Bacterial small subunit ribosomal RNA", at positions 28 to 507 of the family's 1533-position model. The record is from RNAcentral.